This 253-nucleotide ribosomal RNA is filed under the name uncultured bacterium. RNAcentral describes it as "partial 16S ribosomal RNA". It matches the Rfam family "Bacterial small subunit ribosomal RNA", at positions 524 to 776 of the family's 1533-position model. The record is from RNAcentral.
UACAGAGGGGGCAAGCGUUGUUCGGAAUUACUGGGCGUAAAGGGCGCGUAGGCGGCCUUCUAAGUCGAACGUGAAAUCCCUGGGCUCAACCCAGGAACUGCGUCCGAUACUGGAGGGCUUGAAUCCGGGAGAGGGAUGCGGAAUUCCAGGUGUAGCGGUGAAAUGCGUAGAUAUCAGGAGGAACACCGGUGGCGAAGGCGGCUUUCUGGACAGAUACCGACGCUGAGGCACGAAAGCUAGGGGAGCAAACAGG